This 412-nucleotide ribosomal RNA is filed under the name uncultured bacterium. RNAcentral describes it as "bacterial SSU rRNA". It matches the Rfam family "Bacterial small subunit ribosomal RNA", at positions 96 to 518 of the family's 1533-position model. The record is from RNAcentral.
CGGCGGACGGGUGAGUAACACGUCGAGGAACCUGCCUUACACAGGGGAAGUAACACCGUGAAAACGGUGCUAAUACCGCAUAACACCGCACUAUGGCAUCAUAGAACGGCCAAAGGAGAAAUCCGGUGUAAGAUGGCCUCGCGCCCGAUUAGUUAGUUGGUGGGGUAAUGGCCUACCAAGACUGCGAUCGGUAGCCGGACUGAGAGGUCGAACGGCCACAUUGGAACUGAGAGACGGUCCAGACUCCUACGGGAGGCAGCAGUGGGGAAUAUUGGGCAAUGGGGGAAACCCUUGACCCAGCAACGCCGCGUGAAGGAAGAAGGCCUUCGGGUUGUAAACUUCUUUGAUCAGGGAAGAAACAAAUGACGGUACCUGAAAAACAAGCCACGGCUAACUACGUGCCAGCAGCUGC